UAUAUUUAAGUGUUUUAAAGCAUAUAAGAUUUUGAAUUUUAAGGGUUUAAGUAAAUUAAAAAAUAUAA
RNAcentral lists this transfer RNA (68 nucleotides) under Lasioglossum sp. SJW-2017. RNAcentral describes it as "tRNA-Gln". Lineage: Eukaryota; Metazoa; Arthropoda; Insecta; Hymenoptera; Halictidae. The record is from RNAcentral.